CAGCCAGUGAGAGUCAUGUGGCAGAACUGAAAGGAAAGAACACAGCCCUGGAGGCCAGAGUGACAGCCAGUGAGAGCCAGGUGGAAGAGCAGCCCAAGCAGCAGAACUGUCAGACUUGGGGACCAGAGUGACAACCAUUGAGAGCCAGGUGGCAGAGCUGAAGAAAGAUAAUGCAG
This is a long non-coding RNA of Coregonus clupeaformis (lake whitefish), 176 nucleotides long. RefSeq lists it as uncharacterized. The record is from RefSeq and is a predicted model, not a curated record. NCBI's taxonomy places the organism in Eukaryota, Metazoa, Chordata, Actinopteri, Salmoniformes, Salmonidae. The transcript is spliced from 3 exons.